GACAGAGGGUGCAAACGCUGUUCGGAAUUACUGGGCGUAAAGCGAGUGUAGGCGGUCCCGUAAGUCGGGUGUGAAAGCCCUGGGCUCAACCCAGGAAGUGCACUCGAAACUGCGAGGCUAGAGUACUGGAGAGGUUGGUGGAAUUCUCGGUGUAGAGGUGAAAUUCGUAGAUAUCGAGAGGAACACCGGUGGCGAAGGCGGCCAACUGGACAGAUACUGACGCUGAGACUCGAAAGCGUGGGGGAGCAAACAGG
RNAcentral lists this ribosomal RNA (254 nucleotides) under uncultured bacterium. RNAcentral's name for it is "partial 16S ribosomal RNA". It matches the Rfam family "Bacterial small subunit ribosomal RNA", at positions 524 to 776 of the family's 1533-position model. The record is from RNAcentral.